UACGAAGGGUGCAAGCGUUACUCGGAAUUACUGGGCGUAAAGCGUGCGUAGGCGGUUUGUUAAGUCCGUUGUGAAAGCCCUGGGCUCAACCUGGGAAUUGCAGUGGAUACUGGCGAGCUAGAGUGCGGUAGAGGAUGGUGGAAUUCCCGGUGUAGCGGUGAAAUGCGUAGAGAUCGGGAGGAACACCCGUGGCGAAGGCGGCUCGCUGGGCCGGUCCUGACACUGAGGCGCGAAGGCGUGGGGAGCGAACGGG
This 253-nucleotide ribosomal RNA is filed under the name uncultured bacterium. RNAcentral describes it as "partial 16S ribosomal RNA". It matches the Rfam family "Bacterial small subunit ribosomal RNA", at positions 524 to 776 of the family's 1533-position model. The record is from RNAcentral.